Molecule: ribosomal RNA, 500 nt
Filed under: uncultured bacterium
Lineage: Bacteria
Description: partial 16S ribosomal RNA
Rfam family: Bacterial small subunit ribosomal RNA
Source: RNAcentral
AUUGAACGCUGGCGGAAUGCUUUACACAUGCAAGUCGAACGGCAGCACGGGGGCAACCCUGGUGGCGAGUGGCGAACGGGUGAGUAAUACAUCGGAACGUGCCCAGUCGUGGGGGAUAACGUAGCGAAAGGUACGCUAAUACCGCAUACGAUCUACGGAUGAAAGCGGGGGACCGUAAGGCCUCGCGCGAUUGGAGCGGCCGAUGUCAGAUUAGGUACUUGGUGAGGUAAAGACUCACCAAGCCGACGAUCUGUAGCUGGUCUGAGAGGACGACCAGUCAGACUGGGACUGGGACACGGCCCAGACCCAUACGGGAGGGAGUAGUGGGGAAUUUUGGACAAUGGGCGCAAGCCUGAUCCAGCCAUUCCGCGUGCAGGACGAAGGCCUUCGGGUUGUAAACUGCUUUUGUACGGAACGAAAAGGCUCUGGUUAAUACCUGGGGCUCAUGACGGUACCGUAAGAAUAAGCACCGGCUAACUACGUGCCAGCCGCCGCCGUAA